Long non-coding RNA from Triticum aestivum (bread wheat), 275 nucleotides. RefSeq lists it as uncharacterized. The record is from RefSeq and is a predicted model, not a curated record. Lineage: Eukaryota; Viridiplantae; Streptophyta; Magnoliopsida; Poales; Poaceae. The transcript has 2 exons.
GGGAACAUUCGCUUUAUCACCGAAAGCAGCAAGAGUGCAAGAGAUCUUUGGAUGACGCAGAUGCGGGAUCAACUCCUACCAACGGACCGCAUACGAACAAUUCCAGAGGAAAUUGCGGGAUUUUUGCUUCAGCAGGUCAUAUCUCCCGACAGAGAAUACCAUUACCCGUUCUGCAAAUGAUCUGCAAAUUGUGCGAGAAAUUAUAUGAUAUAUGAUGAUUGCUUGUACGAGAAAUUUUAUGAUAUAUAAUCGGUUCUACGAUAAAUUUUAUUAUA